UACCACUUGACUUUCUUCGCAACUUUUGCUUCCAAUCUUGUUCAUGACGACAUUGCCUCCGUUAUCGAUCUCCUUCAGGUUGCUAUGCAACUUAUCAAAUUCGCCAACAAAUAGGUGUUGCGAGUAUCUGUUAAAGAAGCUUCGUCGACUAGCACAGAAGCCUUGUAUGACAACAUCCCAUGUCAUAUCAUUCUUGACUACCUAUAAUCAUCAUCAACAAAUGACCCUCCCAUAGGUUCAUCAACUGACCCAAUCUUGGCAUUCUUCGUCCAUCUUUGUAGAAUGCAUUUCUCCAGUAAAAGCAAAUUUUUUUUUUCUUCAAAUAGCUAAGUAUAUGUCGACACGGAUAACCUUUAAAUUCAAACAUCCCACAUCGGCAUGUGAUAAAAUCCGAAUUUGUGAAAUAGGUAAGUAGAUGUUGCCGUUCGAAAGUCUUCCCCGGCUCAAAUUGCUUCACCCCAUAUACUUUAGCAUC
This 475-nucleotide long non-coding RNA is filed under the name Olea europaea (common olive). Its description in RNAcentral is "long non-coding RNA (OEUR_LNC011472)". The record is from RNAcentral. Lineage: Eukaryota; Viridiplantae; Streptophyta; Magnoliopsida; Lamiales; Oleaceae.